Molecule: ribosomal RNA, 385 nt
Filed under: uncultured bacterium
Lineage: Bacteria
Description: bacterial SSU rRNA
Rfam family: Bacterial small subunit ribosomal RNA
Source: RNAcentral
CGGGGGAUAACAUUCGGAAACGGGUGCUAAUACCGCAUAAAUAUCUUCUUCCGCAAUGGAAGAAGAUUGAAAGACGGCUCUGCUGUCACUUAUAGAUGACCUUGCGGUGCAUUAGUUAGUUGGUGGGGUAAUGGCCUACCAAGACGAUGAUGCAUAGCCGACCUGAGAGGGUGAUCGGCCACAUUGGGACUGAGACACGGCCCAAACUCCUACGGGAGGCAGCAGUAGGGAAUCUUCCGCAAUGGGCGAAAGCCUGACGGAGCAAUGCCGCGUGAGUGAAGAAGGCCUUCGGGUCGUAAAACUCUGUUAUAAGAGAAGAACAAAUUGUAGAGUAACUGCUACAGUCUUGACGGUAUCUUAUCAGAAAGCCACGGCUAACUACGUG